CCUUCUUCUCUUCCAAUUGCUUGGAGAUGGCAUCCAGAACAAGCUGUUCCAUCAACUUUCCAGGGAUAGAACUCAUAACUUUUAUUACUAAGAUCAACUUUCCUUCCUUCUCACCACAAUUUUAAGAAACUGAUUUUUAUGAUGUGCACAUUAGCAAGAAUUUAAUGUAAAGAGCAGACAAUCUAUGGUCUCAGUUCAACAGAGGAAGUACUUCCAGAGCUUCAAUUACAUUAGAAUUCCCCUUGACUUGUAAACGGACUAUCAGAGACAAUGGAAGAAGGAAAUCAGUAGCAGGUCUGGAAACUUAAUCCAGUUUCCAUACAUCAUGCUGUUGACAAGACUAUAAAUGCUUAAAGGAUGCCUUAAUUUGGCAUCAACUCUAAAGUCACACCCACAACUUUCUUUGUACUCUGCAGAAUGGACUCCUUCAAGAUAUCCCAUAUUUGGAACAUAACGUGGAAAGUAGAGCCAAUUGCCAGAGUUUGAGGUCGUACAUCUCCAGGUCAUGAAUCAGUAUCUUGGUCUUCUCCAGCUGCUGAUGAUUACAACCAUGAUGUUUAUAAUCCUUGUACUUGGUGAUAAAACUGCUAAUCCAAUGCAGUCUAGUUCGGUAUAGUACAGUUCAAUCAGUGCUCCUGAAUGAGUACGAGCAUUCAGGAUAGCUUUCAUGAUAACAGACCCUGGGCUUUGUGUGAAAGCAUUUUACCCACAAAUUAUUUUACCCACAAAUUGGAUCUAUAGAUUCUUAUGCCCAUGAUUCCAGAAACUCUUAUAACCACAAGCAAAAUGAAUAGCAUACUGAUUUCACAAAAUAACAGCUCUCCAUGUGUUUACAUUGAUUCCAGUGAAAUCUGUCAUUUUUUAUUUUGUUUCCCCACCCUCCCCCUCCCCCCUUUCCCUAAGAGAUUGUUAGAAAACUGUUAGAAAACUAAAUAUUCAGGUCAUUCAUCACAAACUACUAAGUUACCAAAAAAAUGCUGGCUUUUUAAAAGCUUUGAACUAGGCCUGCUACUUGAUCCAUUUUAGCAGUUUUAUUGAACUAGUAACAUCAUUCUCCCUGGAUUAUGAUUCUGAGGGAGACUAUGAUUCAAAAUGUUUAAUAGAAGUUGAAUGAAAUCA
This is a non-coding RNA of Coturnix japonica (Japanese quail), 1119 nucleotides long. The record is from RefSeq and is a predicted model, not a curated record. Lineage: Eukaryota; Metazoa; Chordata; Aves; Galliformes; Phasianidae.